RNAcentral lists this ribosomal RNA (514 nucleotides) under uncultured Thiomicrospira sp. RNAcentral's name for it is "bacterial SSU rRNA". It matches the Rfam family "Bacterial small subunit ribosomal RNA", at positions 395 to 900 of the family's 1533-position model. Lineage: Bacteria; Pseudomonadati; Pseudomonadota; Gammaproteobacteria; Thiotrichales; Piscirickettsiaceae. The record is from RNAcentral.
UACCGCGUGUGUGAAGAAGGCCCGAGGGUUGUAAAGCACUUUCAAUUGUGAGGAAGAUAGUGUCGCUAAUAUCGGCAUUGUUUGACGUUAACUUUAGAAGAAGCACCGGCUAACUCUGUGCCAGCAGCCGCGGUAAUACAGAGGGUGCAAGCGUUAUUCGGAAUUACUGGGCGUAAAGCGCGCGUAGGCGGGCUAUUAAGUCAGUUGUGAAAGCCCUGGGCUCAACCUGGGAACUGCAUCUGAUACUGGUAGUCUAGAGUUUAAGAGAGGGAAGUGGAAUUCCAGGUGUAGCAGUGAAAUGCGUAGAUAUCUGGAGGAACAUCAGUGGCGAAGGCGACUUCCUGGCUUAAAACUGACGCUGAGGUGCGAAAGCGUGGGUAGCGAACGGGAUUAGAUACCCCGGUAGUCCACGCCGUAAACGAUGUCAACUAGUUGUUGGUCUUAUUAAAAAGAUUAGUAACGAAGCUAACGCGAUAAGUUGACCGCCUGGGGAGUACGGUCGCAAGAUUAAAAC